RNAcentral lists this ribosomal RNA (200 nucleotides) under uncultured prokaryote. RNAcentral describes it as "partial 16S ribosomal RNA". It matches the Rfam family "Bacterial small subunit ribosomal RNA", at positions 1183 to 1382 of the family's 1533-position model. The record is from RNAcentral.
UGUCAAAUCAUCAUGCCCCUUAUGACCUGGGCUACACACGUAAUACAAUGGCGUUUAACAGAGGGAAGCGAAGGGGCGACCCGGAGCGAAACCCUAAAAAGCGUCUCAGUUCGGAUUGCAGGCUGCAACUCGCCUGCAUGAAGUCGGAAUUGCUAGUAAUCGUGGAUCAUCAUGCCACGGUGAAUACGUUCCCGGGCCUU